UACGUAGGCAGCAAGCGUUGUUCGGAAUUACUGGGCGUAAAGGGUGUGUAGGCGGUUCUUUAAGUUUGCUGUGAAAUCUCCCGGCUUAACCGGGAGGGUGCGGUGAAUACUGAGGGACUAGAGUACGGGAGAGGAAAGUGGAAUUCCUGGUGUAGCGGUGAAAUGCGUAGAUAUCAGGAGGAACACCGGUGGUGUAGACGGCUUUCUGGACCGUAACUGACGCUGAGACACGAAAGCGUGGGUAGCAAACAGG
This 253-nucleotide ribosomal RNA is filed under the name uncultured bacterium. Its description in RNAcentral is "partial 16S ribosomal RNA". It matches the Rfam family "Bacterial small subunit ribosomal RNA", at positions 524 to 776 of the family's 1533-position model. The record is from RNAcentral.